UAGGGAAUCUUCCGCAAUGGGCGAAAGCCUGACGGAGCAACGCCGCGUGAGUGAUGAAGGUCUUCGGAUCGUAAAACUCUGUUAUUAGGGAAGAACAAAUGUGUAAGUAACUAUGCACAUCUUGACGGUACCUAAUCAGAAAGCCACGGCUAACUACGUGCCAGCAGCCGCGGUAAUACGUAGGUGGCAAGCGUUAUCCGGAAUUAUUGGGCGUAAAGCGCGCGUAGGCGGUUUUUUAAGUCUGAUGUGAAAGCCCACGGCUCAACCGUGGAGGGAAAUUGGAAACUGGAAAACUUGAGUGCAGAAGAGGAAAGGGGAAUUCCAUGUGUAGCGGUGAAAUGCGCAGAGAUAUGGAGGAACACCAGUGGCGAAGGCGACUUUCUGGGAUGUAACUGACGCUGAUGUGCGAAAGCGUGGGGAUCAAACAGG
RNAcentral lists this ribosomal RNA (429 nucleotides) under Actinomycetes bacterium. RNAcentral describes it as "Actinobacteria bacterium partial 16S ribosomal RNA". It matches the Rfam family "Bacterial small subunit ribosomal RNA", at positions 355 to 776 of the family's 1533-position model. The record is from RNAcentral. Lineage: Bacteria; Bacillati; Actinomycetota; Actinomycetes.